GUGGGUAACCUGCCUGUAAGACUGGGAUAACUCCGGGAAACCGGAGCUAAUACCGGAUAGUUCCUUGAACCGCAUGGUUCAAGGAUGAAAGACGGUUUCGGCUGUCACUUACAGAUGGACCCGCGGCGCAUUAGCUAGUUGGUGGGGUAAUGGCUCACCAAGGCGACGAUGCGUAGCCGACCUGAGAGGGUGAUCGGCCACACUGGGACUGAGACACGGCCCAGACUCCUACGGGAGGCAGCAGUAGGGAAUCUUCCGCAAUGGACGAAAGUCUGACGGAGCAACGCCGCGUGAGUGAUGAAGGUUUUCGGAUCGUAAAGCUCUGUUGUUAGGGAAGAACAAGUGCGAGAGUAACUGCUCGCACCUUGACGGUACCUAACCAGAAAGCCACGGCUAACUACGUGCCAGCAGCCGCGGUAAUACGUAGGUGGCAAGCGUUGUC
This 442-nucleotide ribosomal RNA is filed under the name Bacillus sp. F45. Its description in RNAcentral is "bacterial SSU rRNA". It matches the Rfam family "Bacterial small subunit ribosomal RNA", at positions 117 to 545 of the family's 1533-position model. The record is from RNAcentral. Lineage: Bacteria; Bacillati; Bacillota; Bacilli; Caryophanales; Bacillaceae. RNAcentral also lists the same sequence under 30 other names.